Long non-coding RNA from Astatotilapia calliptera (eastern happy), 1388 nucleotides. The record is from Ensembl. Lineage: Eukaryota; Metazoa; Chordata; Actinopteri; Cichliformes; Cichlidae.
AAUGAACAGCAAUAUUUAUUUGAAGAGAGUAGUUAAAGUGACAUAUUUGUUCCAUAUUUAACUUACAGAAUAGAGCUGGACAAUAUGACUAAACUCUAGAACAUAUAAACAGUAAAAUGAUUGUUUUUGUUUUUUUUAAAUAUGUUUUUUUUUUUAAUAUAAAUGUUAUUUUUUUACUUGACCUUACUUAAAUGGACUUUCAACAUUUGUUUGGCUACAUAUGACCGGUUUAACAUUUUAGGUAACUGGCUGCCUAGUUCCCAAAAAGUUCAGCUCUGUUCAUCUGGACAAAACUUUUUUCAGUGGGAGAAAUGUUUUGUCACUCAUUCAAGCGACUUCUUCAGUCUAGUUCUGGACUGAUAACAGUUUGGUUGGCUUGUAGUUGGAUAUCACUGACUGUUGUAGUCACUGUGGUUUCAAGCAGCCCAGGUAUUUCAAAUUACAAUAUAUGAAUUAACAUCAGUAUGCGAGUCACAUAUUGUAUUUUGGCAGACUGGCAUGUUGUCCAGCUCUACACCAUAAGUUGGCCAGGGUCAGGGGAACAGAGGAGUAGAUAGAAUUAAUUCAGUGAAGAGAAACAAUAAAUGAAACCAGUCCGUGAACAAACUUUCAUCAUCCCAGUGGGAGGACAAAGCAGUCAUGGUGUUAAGUAAAACCUCCUACAGGUGAAUCUGCAUGCAAUUCUCUCAGUACACACAACAGAUAGUUCAGAUCUGAAUGAAAACAGCUGAAAUGUACGCAACUGAAUGCACAAUCACAAUCAACAAUCAGCAUGAUGAAAUGAUCAGCAAGACUCAAAAAACGUGUUUUCUGUAGGACUGAAAAUUCAUAUAGCAAUGACUUAGAAUAAAAUUAUGUGAUUGUGCUUUUUUAACCAAAGUAGGACAAAUAAUACAAAGACAACAUAUACAUCACUUAGAAAACAUUAACACUGUUAUAUAAAAUUUGAAUUUGAAGCACUUCUGUGGCAGUAAACAAUUUACAAGAUGGCAGGUAAUGACUGUAUAUCAAUUAUAGCAAAGUAACAAGACAACUGACAAACAAAGAUCAUACUGGACCGCAUCAAGCAGUCAUUGUGGACAAUACUUUUGUAGACACUCACAACCGCCAUCAAAUGUGCAUUUAUAUUACUAGAGCCAGCCUCCAACAGGUCAGUGUCCUGGAGUCUGGUCAGCAAAAGAAAGCAAACAAUAAACAGUGCAUCAAAUAAAAGUCUAGUUACUUAAAGAUGAGAGCACUUUUUUCCUUUUUUUCCAACACUUAAUGAGAAAUCUGACUUUUAAAAAAACUUAUAUUGUGCAGUAUUUUUGGAGUCUUUUCCACUUUUUUAAAGGUUGUAGUCCUUUCUCUGAAGCAACAAUAGGAUAUUCCUGUUGAGCUCACAUUGC